GACGAACGCUGGCGGCGUGCUUAACACAUGCCAGUCGAACGGAAAGGCCCUGCUUUUGUGGGGUGCUCGAGUGGCGAACGGGUGAGUAACACGUGAGUAACCUGCCCUCGACUUUGGGAUAACUUCAGGAAACUGGGGCUAAUACCGGAUAGGAGCUCCUGCGGCACGGUGGGGGUUGGAAAGUUUCGGCGGUUGGGGAUGGACUCGCGGCUUUUCAGCUUGUUGGUGGGGUAGUGGCUUACUAAGGCAUUGACGGGUAGCCGGACUGAGAGGGUGACCGGCCACAUUGGGACUGAGAUACGACCCAGACUCCUACGGGAGGCAGCAGUGGGGAAUAGUGCACGAUGGGCGGAAGCCUGAUGCAGCAACGCCGCGUGCGGGAUGACGGCCGUCGGGUUGUAAACCGCUUGCGCCUGUGACGAAGCGUGAGUGACGGUAAUGGGUAAAGAAGCACCGGCUAACUACGUG
This 468-nucleotide ribosomal RNA is filed under the name uncultured bacterium. RNAcentral describes it as "partial 16S ribosomal RNA". It matches the Rfam family "Bacterial small subunit ribosomal RNA", at positions 28 to 507 of the family's 1533-position model. The record is from RNAcentral.